AGUGUGACUUUUUCAGAAGGUGAGUUACGCGUUCCGGGCAGUCAGUGCACUGCUCAGCAGGAGGAGGUCCUGCAGGUGGUGCUGCAAGGGGUCGGCUGGCAGCAGGUGGUGGCUCAGCAGGAGGAGGUCCUGCAGGUGGUGCUGCAAGGGGUCGGCUGGCCGCAGGGGGACUGCACAGACACAGGCUGGCAGCAGGUGGUGGCUCAGCAGGAGGAGGUCCUGCAGGUGGUGCUGCAAGGGGUCGGCUGGCCGCAGGGAGGCCGGCAGCAGGGGGACUGCACAGACACAGGCUGGCAGCAGGUGGUGCUGCAAGGGGUCGGCUGGCCGCAGGGGGGCCGGCAGCAGGGGGACUGCACAGACACAGGCUGGCAGCAGGUGGUGGCCCAGCAGCAGGGCCUGCACACC
Molecule: long non-coding RNA, 405 nt
Filed under: Homo sapiens (human)
Lineage: Eukaryota; Metazoa; Chordata; Mammalia; Primates; Hominidae
Description: HSALNT0389759
Source: RNAcentral